This 534-nucleotide long non-coding RNA is filed under the name Mus pahari (shrew mouse). RNAcentral's name for it is "brown adipose tissue enriched long noncoding RNA 3 (MGP_PahariEiJ_G0002273.1)". Lineage: Eukaryota; Metazoa; Chordata; Mammalia; Rodentia; Muridae. The record is from RNAcentral.
AAGUCACAGGGGACAAGGCAGAAUGAGGUUCAGUGGGGUGUGCCAGGUGUGUGCUGAUCAGCACCAGUGACAGCAUGAAACUGAUGUUCCAGGGACUAAGAAGAAGCAGUUGAGAUCACUGGAUCCCAGGUAGCUUCCAGCCAGCAGAGACAUUCUGUCUUCCCUACACUCCGGGGCAGGUCUUGGCAGCGCCCUGCCUGACUUCAGCCUGUCCCUUCUCAAGCCUGGGAAAGCCCGGGAGACCGCGUCGCACUCACCCGGUGGCUGCCUCUGUCCAUGGUGUAAGAGAAUGCUUCUUCCAGGCUCAGCUGAUGUCCAGGAGGCAAAAGAAACAGAGAAAGAGACACGUGUCCUAAACCAAAGUCGCUGUGCUCAGAAGUGUGGAAGCAGAAGAGUUAGGUGGACUUGGGAAUGCUCCCUUUAUGAUAAAGCCCCAGGGUGGCUGGAACUUCACUGAGAUCCAUGGAUUCCGAGAUCGGGUCUGUGUUCCCCCAUGCAUGAAUCUGUACCCAAAUAAAACUCUCUUUGCUUUUA